GACCAUUAUUCCGUGCAGCUCCUACAUACUGAUAUUCCAGAGGCUUUUUCAGGCGUUACCUUACCUGCCGACGGAGAUAGAGACUGUGGUCUUCCAAACAACUGGAGAACUCAAGCAGAAUGGAGCAAGAGACUGUUCACUUCCUGAACCGCCAACAGUACCUGAACCUCCAACA
Carassius carassius (crucian carp) is the source of this 175-nucleotide long non-coding RNA. RefSeq lists it as uncharacterized. Lineage: Eukaryota; Metazoa; Chordata; Actinopteri; Cypriniformes; Cyprinidae. The transcript is spliced from 3 exons. The record is from RefSeq and is a predicted model, not a curated record.